Kogia breviceps (pygmy sperm whale) is the source of this 1537-nucleotide non-coding RNA. NCBI's taxonomy places the organism in Eukaryota, Metazoa, Chordata, Mammalia, Artiodactyla, Physeteridae. The record is from RefSeq and is a predicted model, not a curated record.
GUUGGCGCACAGCGCAUCCUUCCGGGUGGUGUGGACGCCGGGACGCGGGGAAUCGGAGCGGCAGGGCUCACUUGCUCUGGGUGAAGCCAGACACCAUACUGUGAGGACACUCAAGCAGCCCUUCGGAGAGAUCCACAAGGUGAGGAACUGAGGCCUCCACCCAACAACCAGCAUCAGCUUGUCUGCCACGCAAGGGAGCUAUCUUGGGAGCAGAUCCUCCAGCCCCAGUCAAACUUUCAGAUAAUGUAGCCUCACUUGGCAUCUGUUAGCAACCUCAUGAGACCCCAAGCCAGAACCACCCAGCUAAGCUGUUCCCAAACUCCUGACCCACAGAAACUAUGAAAUAAUAAAUGUGUCUUGUUGUUUUAAGCCACUCAUUAUGCAGCUAAUACAGUAGCCAACACUUAAGUAGUGCCCACCCUGCACUUGACAUUAUUUUAUAUAUUUUACAUAUAUUCAUUCACUUAAUAUAUCCUGUAAGGUCUCUAUUUUAAAGAAGGGGAAACAGAGGUGCAGAGAGAUCACAUAGUCUGAGAGAGGAGGUGUGGGGGGAAUAAAGUUUCCCAGGAAGACUAGGAUUAUUAUUGAGCUUAAACCUGCUCCAACCGUGCUUUAUUUUGAGUUCUGCCAGUGGCGGACAUGGAGUGCAGCUGAUGCUGCUCCCAUGAGCUGCAAUCCUGUCUCCUGCUCACAUUUGCACAGAAGCCAAGCCCCCUCUGCCAGCUCUGCUCUCCCACCCACCCCAUCCCUCACCCCCCUUUUUUUUUUUUUUUUUUGGCUGAGCUGGGUCUUCGUUGCUGCACAUGGGAUAUUUUUAGUUGCAGCAUGCAGACUUCUUAGUUGUGGCAUGCAUGCAGGCUCUAGUUCCUCAACCAGGGAUCGAACCCAGGCCCCCUGCAUUGGGAGCAUGGAGUCUUACCCACUGGACCACCAGGGAAGUCCCCCUCACCCAUGUUUUAGGCACAGAUCCUGCAUGAUCCUAUGCUGGACCCCACAGGCCAAACUCCACCUGAAGAUAUGCUUGGUUUGGUCUGCCCAGAAUUUUGAGUAUCAGAUUUCUAAUGAAAAUCUAGAAUUUCUGCUUCUCUUGCAAAAUUGGAAGGUCCAACAGGAGUGGUCUGCAGUCCUGCUUGUUUGCAACAGUCCAAAGCUGAAGGGAAGCUGUCCCCUUUGGCCAAGGGAAGCCCUCCCGCCCCAUCACUGCUGUGCGACACAGGCCCUUCCAUGCUCUGGUUUUUUGCAGAUCCUUGAAGCCUCUGAUCAUUGCCUUUGGGCUGGUGUUUUUCUGUUGCCAGUGCCAGCCUCAGACCAGGGCAAGAGGGACCUCUAUUAUGGCACUGAACUUUGGAGGGUGAAUGCCUCCACCAGGCAAGGAGUUGUGGGAGCAAUGGGUGUAUUUACUGGAGCCCAUAGACUUCCUUUUAGACCACUGAGUUUCCGUUUGGGCUGGUGAAAAAGUUCUGGAACUAGGUAGAAGUUUUCCAGCAUUGUAUGUGUACUUAAUGCCACAGAACUGUAUACAUUAAAGUGGUUAAAA